This 301-nucleotide ribosomal RNA is filed under the name uncultured bacterium. RNAcentral describes it as "partial 16S ribosomal RNA". It matches the Rfam family "Bacterial small subunit ribosomal RNA", at positions 509 to 807 of the family's 1533-position model. The record is from RNAcentral.
CAGCCGCCGCGGGAAUACGUAGGGCGCAAGCGUUAUCCGGAAUUAUUGGGCGUAAAGAGCUCGUAGGCGGUUUGUCGCGUCUGCCGUGAAAGUCCGGGGCUCAACCCCAGAUCUGCGGUGGGUACGGGCAGACUAGAGUGAUGUAGAGGAGACUGGAAUUCCUGGUGUAGCGGUGAAAUGCGCAGAUAUCAGGAGGAACACCGAUGGCGAAGGCAGGUCUCUGGGCAUUAACUGACGCUGAGGAGCGAAAGCAUGGGGAGCGAACAGGAUUAGAUACCCCUGUAGUCCCUGUCUCUUAUAC